Non-coding RNA from Monodelphis domestica (gray short-tailed opossum), 1441 nucleotides. The record is from RefSeq and is a predicted model, not a curated record. Lineage: Eukaryota; Metazoa; Chordata; Mammalia; Didelphimorphia; Didelphidae.
GCAUUUCUCCCAGUUACUCCAAAAACCCCGUUAGCGGAAUCUAGAUCCUCCGAUUCCCUAGAACGGUUCUCGGGCAGCCCGACUGGGCAUGCUCAGUAGCCCCGCAGCUUUGGGCUGCAAGUCUGAAGCUCUACCCGCUCCCAGUAGCCGGGUUAGAGAGUGAGCGAGGGAGUCAGGGAGGGGGCAGCUUGCGGCAGAGGCGACCGCGAAGCAUCCCCGGUGCUGGGUGCUGCCUCGUAGGUGUGCCCUGGCCGCUGUGCGGCCGAAUAAACCUCCUCUGGCGUGUGCGGGUCGGACUCCAUGAAGCCAGCCCGAGGGCUCGGGAGCCAGCCGGUCGGCCCCUGCUAUGGCUGGGGGAGAAGAGGCUGAGGUUGCAGGGAGCCAGCCCGCCUUGGCUGCAACUGCAGAAAGAUCUUCAAGGAAGAAGCUUGAUAACCCCUAAAUCCAGAGAACAAACUGUUGCAGAAAGAUGCCAGAAAAAGCUACACUACAUCAAGAAGAUCAAGAAUGAACUUUGGGUGUGGUUAAUUGAACUGAAGUUUGAAUGAACAUUUAUUGUAAAUGUACACUUUUAUGCCAAAGGGGACUGCCCCUAAUUUGGCUUUUUGUCAAUGCACCUAGCAAAACAUUGGUUUUGCAUUCUCUUUUUUCUAUUCCUCCCUAUUUUAAUUUCCUCUUAGAAAUUGAAUAUUGUAUACAUCUGUAUUUGGAAGUGUUUUAGGACUAUAAGAUGAUUAUGUUAAAUGACCAAUGGGGAGAUUAGAUUCCCAAUCAUCAUCAGGGGCAAUUGUGAAUUUUAAAACUACUCCACCCUACUCGGACCGUACUUUAGAAUAUUUGAUUUAGUUAUUUCCUGAUUUGUAACAAUGUAGAUACUUGGUCUAACAGAAUCAAGUCUUGGGAACUCUACAUUGCUCCACCCUACUUAGUUUAACAAGAUCAGGAAUGUCUGCACCCAUACUCAAGGAUUAGGUAUCUAAGAAGAUGGCCUUCAAUAGACAUGUUCAUAAACAGCUGACAGACCCCUGGGCUGUCCUAAGUCAAGCUAAGCUAACAUUCGUACAGAUGAGACUCAGGAAAGUGAGGUAAAACCAUCUAUAUAAGGCACAUGGCUUCCUCUCUUCACUCGUUUUCCCUGGAGAGGUGGCUAUGGCUGGCAGUGUACUCAGCAUUCCGACAUCUUGGCAUGGUGGAAGCUAUUUGUCUUGGUUUUGGUGAUGAGUUUACCCUUAAGCUAAUUCAGGUUCAUGCAUCUUGGCUGAGCCCUCUUGGAGUUCAGGCUGAUUCCUUCAUCCUUUACUUUCCAAAACCUUACCUUCCUAAAGCCUCUAAUCUUCCCCCUAGCACAAGCCAGGUGGGGAAAACCCUACAUGCUUUCCUUCUCCCUUCUUCUUAAUUCCUUUCCACUUUAUUAAUUAAAUCAUCAUAAAUUUCCAGCCGA